This 324-nucleotide ribosomal RNA is filed under the name uncultured eukaryote. RNAcentral's name for it is "partial 18S ribosomal RNA". It matches the Rfam family "Eukaryotic small subunit ribosomal RNA", at positions 1470 to 1796 of the family's 1831-position model. The record is from RNAcentral.
CCCUUAGAUGCUCUGGGCCGCACGCGCGCUACACUGGUCGAUGCAACGAGUUUCUUUCCUUGGCCGACAGGCCUGGGCAAUCUUUGAACAUCGAUCGUGAUCGGGAUAGAUUCUUGUAAUUUUUGAUCUUAAACGAGGAAUUCCUAGUAAACGCAAGUCAUCAGCUUGCAUUGAUUACGUCCCUGCCCUUUGUACACACCGCCCGUCGCACCUACCGAUUGAAUGGUCCGGUGAAAUCUCCGGACUGGCGUGAGUCGGAGCAAUCUGACAAACACCGGAAAGUUGAUUAAACCCUCCCACCUAGAGGAAGGAGAAGUCGUAACA